RNAcentral lists this transfer RNA (76 nucleotides) under Acanthoscelides obtectus. RNAcentral describes it as "hypothetical protein". Lineage: Eukaryota; Metazoa; Arthropoda; Insecta; Coleoptera; Chrysomelidae. The record is from RNAcentral.
GCCUCGGUAGCUAGGUGGUCAGCGCGUCGAGCUAGCAACCCAGGGCUCACGGGUUCGAAUCUCCGCCUCGGAGGUC